AUUGAACGCUGGCGGCAUGCUUUACACAUGCAAGUCGAACGGUAACAGGCCUUCGGGUGCUGACGAGUGGCGAACGGGUGAGUAAUGCAUCGGAACGUGCCCAGAGGUGGGGGAUAACGCAGCGAAAGCUGUGCUAAUACCUCAUGUGAUCUGAGGAUGAAAGCGGGGGACCACGCAGCAAAGUUUGGCCUCGCGCCUUUGUAGCGGCCGAUGUCAGAUUAGGUAGUUGGUGGGGUAAAGGCCUACCAAGCCGACGAUCUGUAGCUGGUCUGAGAGGACGAGGGGCGAAAGUGGAACUGAGACACGGCAAAGACUCCUACGGGAGGGAGCAGUAGGGAAGCUUGAGCAAGGGGCGAAAGCUUGACGCAGCAAUGCCGCGUGAGUGAAGAAGGGCUUCGGAUCGUAAACGUCUGUGAUGAGGGAAGAAAAAAAGCGUAAGUAAAUCUGCGCGGAAUGACGGGACCUAAUAAAAAAGAAACGGCUAAUUACGUG
This 492-nucleotide ribosomal RNA is filed under the name uncultured bacterium. Its description in RNAcentral is "partial 16S ribosomal RNA". It matches the Rfam family "Bacterial small subunit ribosomal RNA", at positions 29 to 507 of the family's 1533-position model. The record is from RNAcentral.